Molecule: ribosomal RNA, 485 nt
Filed under: uncultured bacterium
Lineage: Bacteria
Description: partial 16S ribosomal RNA
Rfam family: Bacterial small subunit ribosomal RNA
Source: RNAcentral
UGGGGAAUUUUGGACAAUGGGGGAAACCCUGAUCCAGCCAUCCCGCGUGUGCGAUGAAGGCCUUCGGGUUGUAAAGCACUUUUGGCAGGAAAGAAACGUCGCGGGUUAAUACCCCGCGAAACUGACGGUACCUGCAGAAUAAGCACCGGCUAACUACGUGCCAGCAGCCGCGGUAAUACGUAGGGUGCAAGCGUUAAUCGGAAUUACUGGGCGUAAAGCGUGCGCAGGCGGUUCGGAAAGAAAGAUGUGAAAUCCCAGAGCUUAACUUUGGAACUGCAUUUUUAACUACCGGGCUAGAGUGUGUCAGAGGGAGGUGGAAUUCCGCGUGUAGCAGUGAAAUGCGUAGAUAUGCGGAGGAACACCGAUGGCGAAGGCAGCCUCCUGGGAUAACACUGACGCUCAUGCACGAAAGCGUGGGGAGCAAACAGGAUUAGAUACCCUGGUAGUCCACGCCCUAAACGAUGUCAACUAGCUGUUGGGGCCUU